AACGAACGCUGGCGGCAGGCCUAACACAUGCAAGUCGAGCGGACCCUUCGGGGUUAGCGGCGGACGGGUGAGUAACGCGUGGGAAUAUGCCCUUCUCUACGGAAUAGUCCUGGGAAACUGGGGGUAAUACCGUAUACGCCCUUUGGGGGAAAGAUUUAUCGGGGAAGGAUUGGCCCGCGUUGGAUUAGGUAGUUGGUGGGGUAAUGGCCUACCAAGCCGACGAUCCAUAGCUGGUUUGAGAGGAUGAUCAGCCACACUGGGACUGAGACACGGCCCAGACUCCUACGGGAGGCAGCAGUGGGGAAUCUUAGACAAUGGGGGCAACCCUGAUCUAGCCAUGCCGCGUGAGUGAUGAAGGCCUUAGGGUUGUAAAGCUCUUUCAGCUGGGAAGAUAAUGACGGUACCAGCAGAAGAAGCCCCGGCUAACUCCGUG
RNAcentral lists this ribosomal RNA (433 nucleotides) under uncultured bacterium. RNAcentral describes it as "partial 16S ribosomal RNA". It matches the Rfam family "Bacterial small subunit ribosomal RNA", at positions 29 to 507 of the family's 1533-position model. The record is from RNAcentral.